This 891-nucleotide ribosomal RNA is filed under the name Prevotella melaninogenica. RNAcentral's name for it is "bacterial SSU rRNA". The stretch from base 1 to 772 matches the Rfam family "Bacterial small subunit ribosomal RNA". The record is from RNAcentral. Lineage: Bacteria; Pseudomonadati; Bacteroidota; Bacteroidia; Bacteroidales; Prevotellaceae.
GAUGAACGCUGGCGGCGUGCCUAAUACAUGCAAGUAGAACGCUGAAGCUUGGUGCUUGCACCGAGCGGAUGAGUUGCGAACGGGUGAGUAACGCGUAGGUAACCUGCCUCUUAGCGGGGGAUAACUAUUGGAAACGAUAGCUAAUACCGCAUAAAAGUCGACAUCGCAUGAUGUUGACUUGAAAGGUGCAAAUGUAUCACUAAGAGAUGGACCUGCGUUGUAUUAGCUAGUUGGUGAGGUAACGGCUCACCAAGGCGACGAUACAUAGCCUACCUGAGAGGGUGAUCGGCCACACUGGGACUGAGACACGGCCCAGACUCCUACGGGAGGCAGCAGUAGGGAAUCUUCGGCAAUGGGGGCAACCCUGACCGAGCAACGCCGCGUGAGUGAAGAAGGUUUCGGAUCGUAAAGCUCUGUUGUUAGAGAAGAACGUGUGUGAGAGUGGAAAGUUCACGCUGUGACGGUAACUUACCAUAAAGGGACGGUUAACUACGUGCCAGCAGCCUCGGUUAUACGUAGUCCCGAGCGUUAUCCGGAUUUAUUGGGCGUAAAGCGAGCGCAGGCUGUUGAUUAUUCUGAAUUGAUGGCUGUUGGUUAACCAUUGUACGCUGUUAAGCUGGUUAUGUUUGAUUGCGGAAGGGGAGUGUGUGAUUUCGUGGGGGCGUGUGAAAUUGUGUGGAUGUUGGGGGAACCCCGGUGUUGUAAGUGUGCUCUCUGGUCUUGACGUAUGCUGAUGUUUGUGGCUGGGUGAGCGUUCUGGUGUUUCUCUUGUGGUUGUGAAUGGUGAUGCUGUUGGGUGUUUUUGGGUAGCUAGUCUGUGGGUUGGUUGUGUGUGUGUUGUCUUUUUUGUUUUUUCUUUGUUAUGUUUGUAGUUGUGGGUUGGGGUUUCUU